CACCAUAAAAAUCUUAAGGAGAUAAUUCUAUUAUUACAAGUCGUCACUUCUUUAGUUGAUCGAACCCACGCACACAAGUUGACAAGAAUAAGGAGAAAAUAAUGGUUGAGUGUUCCAUAAUACUAAUAGGUGAAAAUGGCAUCUUAGAAACAUACCGAAGCAAAGGAUAGAUGACACAAAUGAUUGGUCUGCCAACAAAUUACUCAUAUCUGUCUGGCUUGAUUGAUCUCUCGCACCUUCCUGCAUAGAUAAUUGGAGAGCUGCAACUAGUAAAGACAUGAAAUCAAACAGCUGAAGAGGGAAGAGGGGGAAUAGAUGAUAUUUGCCUAGGUGUAGUCGUGUAGAAGACUCUAAAAGUAGGGUUGUCAGAUAUUCUCAUUGACCUAGUAUUGACCUAGUGAACCGUAUAUUAGUACUUGCAUACCCAAACAUGAUACUCACGCGUACCAAUACUCUAACUUUAGUUUACUAAAAUAUUUCUUUAAUAUUUUAUCUAUAAUUGCACAAAAUAUCAAUAUUAUAAUAAUGGUCUCAUAUUGUUUAGCGAGGAGUAUCGACAAAUCUUGCUGAGAGUAUUGGAUUUAUAACUUGAAUGACAUUUAUACUAAAUUAUCUAUAAAACAAGACAACUAAAAAAAUUUCUGUAAACAUUGGUUUGCUACAUUCAAAUUCUAAAAGAAUUUCCAACCAUAAAAACUUAUAUAAAGUACCCUAUCGUAUCGCGUUUCAGCUAGACUACAUAGCUGUUCGUACCACGUACCGAACGAAUCACAUUUCAGGUAACACUACAGUCUAAAGUAAUUCAAGGAUCCUAUGUUCCAUAUAUAUGCUUUAGAUUCAGCAUAGCUAAGUAAUUGUAUGCGACAUGCUAGUAAUUUCAGGCCUCAAUUGGUAUGAAGGAAAAAAAAUUCUCAAAAAUGGUUAUCUCAUUACUUUAAUAAAUCUCUGAUAGUGAAAAUCUAGAAAUAUUUAUCGUAAAGCGUUUGUGGUAUGUGAAGAAUAUUGUUCAAAGAUCUUAAUUUUAGUCAAGUAGAUAAGCCUUAUAUAUUCUUUUACUAAUUCUUUGAGGGUGGAGAAAAAGAUUACUGCACCAUGAGUAAUGAAUGAAAUACCAACUCUACGUGAUAAAUCAUAAAUGAAAUAUGAACAAAUAUGUGCACCAAAGGCCAUAAAUUAUCAGUAGAAACGACAUUCCAUUUUCCACUCUCGAUUCCUAAAGAAAUAAGGCCUCAGUGUUUUGGGCAAUUUUCUGCACCCAAGAAAUAAAUUUUGGUAUAACAACAUGUAUGGCAAUUUCCUUCAGCUGUAUUCAUAUUAUCUGACUAUUAUAUUUCAGGUACUGAAACCACAAAGACGUUCUCCAGAAGUUGGGUGAAGCAAUGGGUCUUGCGGUUCUAGGAGAUGCUGACACUUUUGCUGAAACCUCUGGGUUAGAUGAAACUGAUGAAGUGGAAAAUGAGGAUGAAUCCAUUGUUCAUCACACUGCUAGUGUUGGUGAUGUGGAGGUAACUCAGUUCUGUGUUUACUCUUGUCCUAGGUUCCAUUGGUUCAUUACAACUUACAAAUGUAUUGACAUUUUUUAUAAUAAUUUUAAUCAAAGUCAAAAUGUGGAAGAAUUUUUUUCGUCGAAGUAGUAUGAACUAUCACUCCUCUCGCAUUCUUUUUCCUUUCUAACAAAAUUCCCUCUUUUUAUGGAAGUAAAAAGUAGGUGGAUUAACUAAUUGCUCGUCUUUUGUUGCUUGGUAAUUAUUACUAGCUUUUACCAUUUUUUUAGUUCUCGAGAUUAUGAGUUCAAGUACGUUAUUGGUUAUGAGUUUGGUUGUUUUUACAUACAUAUAUACUUGUUUAUCACAAUUGUUUUGUAUUUACUAUUUAUGUAGUUGAAGUGACAGAGAUUUAUCAUGAAGUACUAAACCAACAAGUUCGUUCAUCUUUUUAACUUGUUUGUACUAAACCAAAAGGGUCCUAAGAUUUCCUGUUUGUUCUUUCAUCAACAUGUAUGGAUCAACAUGUGAUUGAUUUUCAGUACAUAGCACGCCCUCUCCAUCACUGUAUGAUCGAGUUUAUAGGAAAUUAAAAGGAUCCCCACUGGAUAGGAAAGGGAAGUAUUCUGACAAUAAUCAAAUACAUAAUUAAAAUUUUGAAACCCCAUUUAAUUCUGUAAUCAGCACAAAGAUGAACUCAUAAUACACAUCAAAUGAGCUCAGCAUUAAACCAGAGCAAGAACAGCUUAACCAAAAAUUCUCUAAAUCCCCAAUUUAUACAUAACAUCAUAAAUUUCUUAAAUUGAAACCUAAAUAUGUGUGUAAGUUUACUUUAGAUUUAAUUUGUGUGUGAAAGCAAAAUUACAAGCUAUUUGUGCGUGUUAGUGUGUGUAAAAUUGGGAAAAGGUCAAAUUGAAUACUAACCGUUACCUACAGGUAAUAGAAGAUAACAAUGGAAGAGAAUGAGGCAAAGCAAGCCGCCGUUGUCGUCGAAAAUUGCAGAAAUUGGAAUUGGGGCUUCUGUUUUUCUAAACUAGGGUAAUAAUGAGUGGGAGGAGAGAAAGGGGAAAUAGAGUACUGAGGCGGAGGAGAGUGGCUGAGGAGGGUGAGAGAGGAGGAGGAUGAGGAGGCAGCAGGAGAAUGAGAGAGGAGGAGGCGGUAGAUCGAGUAUCAUUUCUCAAGUUGAUCGCUC
This 2676-nucleotide long non-coding RNA is filed under the name Panax ginseng (ginseng). Its description in RNAcentral is "long non-coding RNA (PGIN_LNC011298)". Lineage: Eukaryota; Viridiplantae; Streptophyta; Magnoliopsida; Apiales; Araliaceae. The record is from RNAcentral.